CGUGUGCUUACAAGUAGUCAGAGCCCGUUAAUGGGUGAUGGCGUGCCUUUUGUAGAAUGAACCGGCGAGUUACGAUUUGAUGCAAGGUUAAGCAGUAAAUGUGGAGCCGUAGCGAAAGCGAGUCUGAAUAGGGCGUUUAGUAUUUGGUCGUAGACCCGAAACCAGGUGAUCUACCCUUGGUCAGGUUGAAGUUCAGGUAACACUGAAUGGAGGACCGAACCGACUUACGUUGAAAAGUGAGCGGAUGAACUGAGGGUAGCGGAGAAAUUCCAAUCGAACCUGGAGAUAGCUGGUUCUCUCCGAAAUAGCUUUAGGGCUAGCCUCAAGUGAUGAUUAUUGGAGGUAGAGCACUGUUUGGACGAGGGGCCCCUCUCGGGUUACCGAAUUCAGACAAACUCCGAAUGCCAAUUAAUUUAACUUGGGAGUCAGAACAUGGGUGAUAAGGUCCGUGUUCGAAAGGGAAACAGCCCAGACCACCAGCUAAGGUCCCAAAAUAUAUGUUAAGUGGAAAAGGAUGUGGCGUUGCCCAGACAACUAGGAUGUUGGCUUAGAAGCAGCCAUCAUUUAAAGAGUGCGUAAUAGCUCACUAGUCGAGUGACACUGCGCCGAAAAUGUACCGGGGCUAAACAUAUUACCGAAGCUGUGGAUUGUCCUUUGGACAAUGGUAGGAGAGCGUUCUAAGGGCGUUGAAGCAUGAUCGUAAGGACAUGUGGAGCGCUUAGAAGUGAGAAUGCCGGUGUGAGUAGCGAAAGACGGGUGAGAAUCCCGUCCACCGAUUGACUAAGGUUUCCAGAGGAAGGCUCGUCCGCUCUGGGUUAGUCGGGUCCUAAGCUGAGGCCGACAGGCGUAGGCGAUGGAUAACAGGUUGAUAUUCCUGUACCACCUAUAAUCGUUUUAAUCGAUGGGGGGACGCAGUAGGAUAGGCGAAGCGUGCGAUUGGAUUGCACGUCUAAGCAGUAAGGCUGAGUAUUAGGCAAAUCCGGUACUCGUUAAGGC
This 996-nucleotide ribosomal RNA is filed under the name Staphylococcus aureus. Its description in RNAcentral is "partial 23S ribosomal RNA". It matches the Rfam family "Bacterial large subunit ribosomal RNA", at positions 557 to 1556 of the family's 2925-position model. The record is from RNAcentral. Lineage: Bacteria; Bacillati; Bacillota; Bacilli; Caryophanales; Staphylococcaceae.